UGGGGAAUAUUGGACAAUGGGGGGAACCCUGAUCCAGCCAUGCCGCGUGUGUGAAGAAGGCCUUAUGGUUGUAAAGCACUUUAAGCGAGGAGGAGGGUACUGGUAUUAAUACUACCAGCUACUGGACGUUACUCGCAGAAUAAGCACCGGCUAACUCUGUGCCAGCAGCCGCGGUAAUACAGAGGGUGCAAGCGUUAAUCGGAAUUACUGGGCGUAAAGCGCGCGUAGGUGGUUCGUUAAGUUGAAUGUGAAAGCCCCGGGCUAAACCUGGGAACUGCAUCCAAAACUGGCGAGCUAGAGUAGGGCAGAGGGUGGUGGAAUUUCCUGUGUAGCGGUGAAAUGCGUAGAUAUAGGAAGGAACACCAGUGGCGAAGGCGACCACCUGGGCUCAUACUGACACUGAGGUGCGAAAGCGUGGGGAGCAAACAGG
This 430-nucleotide ribosomal RNA is filed under the name Pseudomonadota bacterium. RNAcentral's name for it is "Proteobacteria bacterium partial 16S ribosomal RNA". It matches the Rfam family "Bacterial small subunit ribosomal RNA", at positions 355 to 776 of the family's 1533-position model. Lineage: Bacteria; Pseudomonadati; Pseudomonadota. The record is from RNAcentral.